AAAGCUUCGAAUCCCCAAAACCUUUAGACUCGCAAAAAACCCUAAUUCCAAUUCCAAUUUCAUUUCAUAUUAUCAGCAAAAUUAGUUUGAUCUGCCGAGAGGCAGACGGAGAUUUACAAUGUCUGCAAUUGUCUGCGGCAAGAGAUCUUUCUUCGAAGAUUUACAAUCGCCGUCGCCGACAUCAGCGUCGCCGCCUGUUUCCAAGAAGAUUCGUUGCUCUUCCUCUACUUCUCCGGUUCGGUUCCCGACCAGUUUGAUCGAUCAACUGAGAACUUUGUUUCCUGAUAUGGAUAAUCAGGUUGUUGAGAAGGCUUUGGAAGAGUCCGGCAAUGACUUGGAUGCUGCUAUUAAGAGGUUACAUGAGCUUCACCUUGUGUAUGGCGAUGCAAAGACAGUUGCUGAUGGAGAGAUGGAUAAUGGAGAAAAACCAACUAACGGGCCAGAUGUUCAAUCUGAAGGUCCUCCUCUCCAGAAUAAUCUUCCAGCUGAUGGUGCAGAAUGGGUGGAGUUGCUUGUCAGGGAAAUGAUGAGUGCUACAAGUGUAGAUGAUGCCAGGGCUAGGGCCACAAGGGUGUUGGAGAGCCUGGAGCGAUCAAUUAGUGUUCAUGCUGGUGCUGCAGCAGCUGAAAAUGUUCACAAGGAAAAUGUGAUGCUGAAAGAGCAAAUUGAAGUGUUCCUUAGAGAAAAGGCCAUUUUUAAACGUGCUAUUGCUAUCCAACACGAAAGGCAAAAAGAGUAUGAUGAUAGAAACCAGGAAGUGCAGCAAUUGAAGCAGAUGAUUGCUCAAUAUCAGGAACAAAUAAAAAAUCUUGAGGUGAAUAAUUAUGCGUUGACAAUGCAUUUGCACCAGGCUCAGCAAAACAACUCUAUUCCGGGACGCUUCCAUCCAGACAUCUUCUAGUGCGGAGGCUAGUCCAGUUAAAGCUGUGGAACAUACAAAGAAACAAGCUUGUUGGCAUCUUGUCAGCUGUGAUAUAGGAUGUAUUAAUCAAAUUAUGAAUCAAUGUUGUUUUUAUAAUUAGAUUGAGUAACGGUUUGCGUGUUGAGUUGAAGCCACUUUGGUGGAUGACCCUGGUCAAGUAAGUAGUGUUGUACUGGACAUCGUCCAAAUGGUGAAGUCCUCAAACGUGCUAGUAUUUAACUAAUAUCAGAAAACUGGCUAUAAAACAUACUUUGCUAUAAUUUUGCUUUCUGCUUCUCAGUUUGUUCUACAAUUUUUU
RNAcentral lists this unclassified non-coding RNA (1220 nucleotides) under Hevea brasiliensis (rubber tree). The record is from RNAcentral. Lineage: Eukaryota; Viridiplantae; Streptophyta; Magnoliopsida; Malpighiales; Euphorbiaceae.